RNAcentral lists this ribosomal RNA (403 nucleotides) under uncultured Pantoea sp. RNAcentral's name for it is "bacterial SSU rRNA". It matches the Rfam family "Bacterial small subunit ribosomal RNA", at positions 976 to 1378 of the family's 1533-position model. The record is from RNAcentral. Lineage: Bacteria; Pseudomonadati; Pseudomonadota; Gammaproteobacteria; Enterobacterales; Erwiniaceae.
UACUCUUGACAUCCACGGAAUUUGGCAGAGAUGCCUUAGUGCCUUCGGGAACCGUGAGACAGGUGCUGCAUGGCUGUCGUCAGCUCGUGUUGUGAAAUGUUGGGUUAAGUCCCGCAACGAGCGCAACCCUUAUCCUUUGUUGCCAGCGAUUCGGUCGGGAACUCAAAGGAGACUGCCGGUGAUAAACCGGAGGAAGGUGGGGAUGACGUCAAGUCAUCAUGGCCCUUACGAGUAGGGCUACACACGUGCUACAAUGGCGCAUACAAAGAGAAGCGACCUCGCGAGAGCAAGCGGACCUCACAAAGUGCGUCGUAGUCCGGAUCGGAGUCUGCAACUCGACUCCGUGAAGUCGGAAUCGCUAGUAAUCGUGGAUCAGAAUGCCACGGUGAAUACGUUCCCGGGU